RNAcentral lists this ribosomal RNA (392 nucleotides) under uncultured bacterium. RNAcentral's name for it is "bacterial SSU rRNA". It matches the Rfam family "Bacterial small subunit ribosomal RNA", at positions 28 to 421 of the family's 1533-position model. The record is from RNAcentral.
GACGAACGCUGGCGGCGUGCUUAACACAUGCAAGUCGAGCGGUAAGGCCCUUUCGGGGGUACACGAGCGGCGAACGGGUGAGUAACACGUGGGUGACCUGCCCUCAGCUCUGGGAUAAGCCUGGGAAACCGGGUCUAAUACCGGAUAUGACUCCAUGACGCAUGUUGUGGGGUGGAAAGCCUUGUGCGGCUGAGGAUGGGCCCGCGGCCUAUCAGCUUGUUGGUGGGGUGAUGGCCUACCAAGGCGACGACGGGUAGCCGGCCUGAGAGGGCGACCGGCCACACUGGGACUGAGACACGGCCCAGACUCCUACGGGAGGCAGCAGUGGGGAAUCUUGCGCAAUGGGCGAAAGCCUGACGCAGCGACGCCGCGUGAGGGAUGACGGCCUGUGU